GCCCCGCCCUGGUCCAGUGAUUGAUCAGCAGUGAUUACUGAGGCUUUAAUGGUCCGCUUGGAUGGGAAUUAAUUCUGCGAUGGAUAAAUAAUGCAUCGAGGUUUAGGUAGUCCAAGGCGAGCAGACCGUCCGGAGCCGGGAGAGGUAGCCGAGGGAGCCUGACGGGUGACGCCAGCGGCCACGGGUCCCCGAGCGAGCAGGGCAUGAGGGGCGACUGGGCGCGAGGACGAGCAAAAGCAAGUGGAUGACAGCAUGAACGGCCCCGCGGGGCUGGCCGGACGGCUGCAAGAACAUGCUGAGCCCAAAGAUCAGGCAGGCCAGGAGGGGGAUUUAUUUCUCUACAAGGGACACAGGUGACUGAACUUCCUCCUGGCCCCGAGGACCCAGGGAAGCACCUCUUUGAGAUCAGCCCAGCACAACAGACGUGCACACGGUGGCCUCCCUGCUGAAGCUGUACCUGCGGGAGCUCCCCGAGCCCGUGGUCCCCUUCGCCAGGUAUGAGGACUUCCUCAGCUGCGCCCAGCUGCUCACGAAGGACGAGGGGGAGGGCACUCUGGAGUUGGCUAAACAAGUGAGCAACCUUCCUCAGGCAAAUUACAACCUGCUCAGAUACAUCUGCAAGUUUCUGGAUGAAGUUCAGGCAUACUCAAACGUCAACAAGAUGAGUGUCCAGAAUCUGGCAACCGUUUU
RNAcentral lists this small RNA (690 nucleotides) under Pongo abelii (Sumatran orangutan). RNAcentral's name for it is "processed transcript". Lineage: Eukaryota; Metazoa; Chordata; Mammalia; Primates; Hominidae. The record is from RNAcentral.